Molecule: ribosomal RNA, 253 nt
Filed under: uncultured bacterium
Lineage: Bacteria
Description: partial 16S ribosomal RNA
Rfam family: Bacterial small subunit ribosomal RNA
Source: RNAcentral
CACGAACCGUCCAAACGUUAUUCGGAAUUACUGGGCUUAAAGAGUCCGUAGGCGGCUUUGUAGGUGAGGUGUGAAAUCCCUCGGCUCAACCGAGGAAUUGCGCUUCAAACCGCAGAGCUUGAGGAAGAUAGAGGAAAGCGGAACUGAUGGUGGAGCGGUGAAAUGCGUUGAUAUCAUCAGGAACACCGGUGGCGAAAGCGGCUUUCUGGGUCUUUACUGACGCUGAGGGAAGAAAGCUAGGGGAGCAAACGGG